GAUGAACGCUAGCGAUAGGCUUAACACAUGCAAGUCGAGGGGCAGCACAAGGUAGCUUGCUAUCUGGGUGGCGACCGGCGCACGGGUGCGUAACGCGUAUGCAACUUGCCCUAUACAGGAGGAUAACCCGUCGAAAGACGGACUAAUACUGCGUAUGCUCACAACUUGGCAUCAAGCGGUGAGGAAAGAAAUUCGGUAUAGGAUAGGCAUGCGUCCCAUUAGCUUGUUGGUGAGGUAACGGCUCACCAAGGCAACGAUGGGUAGGGGAACUGAGAGGUUUAUCCCCCACACUGGUACUGAGACACGGACCAGACUCCUACGGGAGGCAGCAGUGAGGAAUAUUGGUCAAUGGGCGCGAGCCUGAACCAGCCAAGUCGCGUGAAGGAUGACUGUCUUAUGGAUUGUAAACUUCUUUUAUACGGGAAUAACAAGAGUCACGUGUGACUCCCUGCAUGUACCGUAUGAAUAAGCAUCGGCUAACUCCGUG
Molecule: ribosomal RNA, 487 nt
Filed under: uncultured bacterium
Lineage: Bacteria
Description: partial 16S ribosomal RNA
Rfam family: Bacterial small subunit ribosomal RNA
Source: RNAcentral